Long non-coding RNA from Mustela putorius furo (domestic ferret), 1915 nucleotides. The record is from Ensembl. NCBI's taxonomy places the organism in Eukaryota, Metazoa, Chordata, Mammalia, Carnivora, Mustelidae.
GCCAUUUCCUGCACCCCUCAAGACCCAGGGAUGCUGCACCGGGAGAGCUGGCAGACGGGCAGCCCAUGCCACACCUUCCCCUCCCCAGGCUUGCUUGAGCAGCUUGUUCUUGGACCCCGUGAAACUUUUUUGGGCGCCUGGGUGGCUCAGUUGGUUGAGCAACUGCUUUCAGCUCAGGUCACGGUCCUGGAGUCCCGGGAUCGAGUCCCGCAUCGGGCUCCCAGCUCCAUGGGGAGUCUGCUUCUCCCUCUGACCUUCUCGCCUCUCAUGUUCUCUCUCACUGUCUUGCUCUCAAAUAAAUAAAUAAAAUCUUUAAAAAAAAAUAAAAUAAAGUUUUGACUUGAGUUGAAUCUGAGUGAGUUUUGAUCCUUGCACCUAAAUCUGUCCCAAGGUGGAAAUAGCAGGAAUUGGUUUGCCCAGUGACUGAGUCACUUCUUUUCCUAUUUGUCAACCUCUCAGUCUGGGCGUCGCCUCCCUCCUGUUGGUGACCAAACGCAGCGGGAUAGGAGCUGGCCGGCUGCUUGCAGCCUGAGGCUGCGGUCUCCGUCCCACCGCGCCAGAGAAUCAGGGAGCCGGCCGCCUGCCCUGGCGAUGGCGCCAGUCCGCUGAGCCAAGCAGGCCUGACUCAGGCCCUUCGGGAGCAAGGGGGGCUCCCAUCAAGAUGGUCUGUCCCCUGGGGCGCAAAAAGAGGGAGGAGCUAGUGUUGCCCCAGACUGAGAGGGUUCCAAGGGCGCUGGACUUCCAGUCUCAAAAUCAAGAAAGUCCUGGGCAGACCAGGACAAUCUGGUCACCCCAGAGCAGCUUAGGUACAAGGAAAAGAAGAAUCUGGAACUUUCUAUGAACUUGGUCUCCAGCCUCAUUAUAGGCUAAUUGAAGUCUAAGUUAAGUCAGGACUCUUCCUUUCGGUAAAAUAGAAAUUCUGUCAAUGUGUAAGAGAUAUCAUGAGACCUAUGUGAGAACACAUGGAAGAUGACAGGCCCUUGUGUCAUUGGAAGUUUCUCUAACUAGUCCUUGACCCUCAUCCCAGUAGAACUCCUCCUCUUGCACUUCUAGUUUCACGUGAACUUACCGUUCCCCUUCCCAUGAUCGCAGGUUAAACUAUCACCUGUGUCUACACGGGUGGAAACACCACUGGGUCUACAUUCCCCUUCUCCUCUACCCUCCCAAAGUUCUUUGUACCAGCUUCCUUUCCUGUAGCCCCACAACCUGUCUGUGCCUUGGGGCACCCUCGCUACUUAGGGGAGUGAUCUGGGUGUCUGUGCACCUAACACUUCUCUGCAUCAGGUUUCUGGCCCCUCGCACAGUUCACCACAGGGCUGGGGCCGCGGGGCCCCAUCUGGAGGCAGGUGUUGACUUGGCGUCAAGAUGAGUGAAAACAGGUAUAGACCAAAGUGCUCCACUCACUAGAAGCCACUGCUAUUCUUAAAGGGAGAGCUCAGAUGGACUCCAGUUCUAUUCUUAACCAUCUGCACGACCUUUGCGUGUCUUCGUCUACCCAUAACAUGAAGGGUACCGGGGACGGAGCAGGGAAAGAAAAGGCAGAACGCAGGGGAUUUGUAGGACAGUGAGAAUGCUCGGUGUGGUACCAUGAUGGACCUAUGUCCUCGGGCAUUUGUCCAGACCCACAGAAUGUGCCCUAUGAAGAGUGACCUACAGUCAGCUAUGAACAUUGGGUGAUGAGAAUGUUGUCCAUGUAGGUUCAUGCUUGGUCUGAAAAACAAACAAACAAACAAAACCACCACGCUGGGGAGUGAUGUUGGUCAUGAGGGAGGCUACGCGCGCGUCGGAGGGUAGAAAGUGUACGACGGUCCCUGCACCUUCCUCUUGUGUCGUAAACCUAGAACUUGACAAAAAAAGUCUUUUCAAUAAGCAAAUGAUACAUAAAUACAAAUCAAGGAGAUGAUUUCUCAAGUUC